Molecule: transfer RNA, 79 nt
Filed under: Suillus spraguei
Lineage: Eukaryota; Fungi; Basidiomycota; Agaricomycetes; Boletales; Suillaceae
Also listed under: 2 other names
Description: tRNA-Arg
Rfam family: tRNA
About the family: Transfer RNA (tRNA) molecules are approximately 80 nucleotides in length.
Source: RNAcentral
GGCCGCCUGGCGAAAUGGCAUCGCGUCUGACUACGAUUACGUUAUCAGGAGAUUGCAGGUUCGACCCCUGCGGUGGUCA